This 420-nucleotide ribosomal RNA is filed under the name uncultured bacterium. RNAcentral describes it as "bacterial SSU rRNA". It matches the Rfam family "Bacterial small subunit ribosomal RNA", at positions 358 to 770 of the family's 1533-position model. The record is from RNAcentral.
GGAAUUUUGGACAAUGGGCGAAAGCCUGAUCCAGCGACGCCGUGUGCGGGAGGAAGCCCUUCGGGGUGUAAACCGCUGUCAGGGGGGAAGAAAACGCUUGCACUAAUACUGCGAGUGCUUGACGGUACCCCCCGAGGGAGCGCCGGCUAACUCCUCGCCAGCAGCCGCGGUAAGACGGAGGGCGCAAGCGUUGUCCGGAAUUACUGGGCGUAAAGGGGGCGCAGGCGGCUUGCUAAGUCCUGUGUGAAAUCCCACGGCUCAACCGUGGAAUGGCGCAGGAAACUGGCGAGCUUGAGACGGGUAGAGGCGAGUGGAAUUCCCGGUGUAGCGGUGGAAUGCGUAGAUAUCGGGAAGAACACCAGUGGCGAAGGCGACUCGCUGGGCCCGUUCUGACGCUCAGGCCCGAAAGCGUGGGGAGCA